RNAcentral lists this ribosomal RNA (2902 nucleotides) under Escherichia coli. Its description in RNAcentral is "23S ribosomal RNA". It matches the Rfam family "Bacterial large subunit ribosomal RNA". The record is from RNAcentral. Lineage: Bacteria; Pseudomonadati; Pseudomonadota; Gammaproteobacteria; Enterobacterales; Enterobacteriaceae.
UUAAGCGACUAAGCGUACACGGUGGAUGCCCUGGCAGUCAGAGGCGAUGAAGGACGUGCUAAUCUGCGAUAAGCGUCGGUAAGGUGAUAUGAACCGUUAUAACCGGCGAUUUCCGAAUGGGGAAACCCAGUGUGUUUCGACACACUAUCAUUAACUGAAUCCAUAGGUUAAUGAGGCGAACCGGGGGAACUGAAACAUCUAAGUACCCCGAGGAAAAGAAAUCAACCGAGAUUCCCCCAGUAGCGGCGAGCGAACGGGGAGCAGCCCAGAGCCUGAAUCAGUGUGUGUGUUAGUGGAAGCGUCUGGAAAGGCGCGCGAUACAGGGUGACAGCCCCGUACACAAAAAUGCACAUAUUGUGAGCUCGAUGAGUAGGGCGGGACACGUGGUAUCCUGUCUGAAUAUGGGGGGACCAUCCUCCAAGGCUAAAUACUCCUGACUGACCGAUAGUGAACCAGUACCGUGAGGGAAAGGCGAAAAGAACCCCGGCGAGGGGAGUGAAAAAGAACCUGAAACCGUGUACGUACAAGCAGUGGGAGCACGCUUAGGCGUGUGACUGCGUACCUUUUGUAUAAUGGGUCAGCGACUUAUAUUCUGUAGCAAGGUUAACCGAAUAGGGGAGCCGAAGGGAAACCGAGUCUUAACUGGGCGUUAAGUUGCAGGGUAUAGACCCGAAACCCGGUGAUCUAGCCAUGGGCAGGUUGAAGGUUGGGUAACACUAACUGGAGGACCGAACCGACUAAUGUUGAAAAAUUAGCGGAUGACUUGUGGCUGGGGGUGAAAGGCCAAUCAAACCGGGAGAUAGCUGGUUCUCCCCGAAAGCUAUUUAGGUAGCGCCUCGUGAAUUCAUCUCCGGGGGUAGAGCACUGUUUCGGCAAGGGGGUCAUCCCGACUUACCAACCCGAUGCAAACUGCGAAUACCGGAGAAUGUUAUCACGGGAGACACACGGCGGGUGCUAACGUCCGUCGUGAAGAGGGAAACAACCCAGACCGCCAGCUAAGGUCCCAAAGUCAUGGUUAAGUGGGAAACGAUGUGGGAAGGCCCAGACAGCCAGGAUGUUGGCUUAGAAGCAGCCAUCAUUUAAAGAAAGCGUAAUAGCUCACUGGUCGAGUCGGCCUGCGCGGAAGAUGUAACGGGGCUAAACCAUGCACCGAAGCUGCGGCAGCGACGCUGAUGCGUUGUUGGGUAGGGGAGCGUUCUGUAAGCCUGCGAAGGUGUGCUGUGAGGCAUGCUGGAGGUAUCAGAAGUGCGAAUGCUGACAUAAGUAACGAUAAAGCGGGUGAAAAGCCCGCUCGCCGGAAGACCAAGGGUUCCUGUCCAACGUUAAUCGGGGCAGGGUGAGUCGACCCCUAAGGCGAGGCCGAAAGGCGUAGUCGAUGGGAAACAGGUUAAUAUUCCUGUACUUGGUGUUACUGCGAAGGGGGGACGGAGAAGGCUAUGUUGGCCGGGCGACGGUUGUCCCGGUUUAAGCGUGUAGGCUGGUUUUCCAGGCAAAUCCGGAAAAUCAAGGCUGAGGCGUGAUGACGAGGCACUACGGUGCUGAAGCAACAAAUGCCCUGCUUCCAGGAAAAGCCUCUAAGCAUCAGGUAACAUCAAAUCGUACCCCAAACCGACACAGGUGGUCAGGUAGAGAAUACCAAGGCGCUUGAGAGAACUCGGGUGAAGGAACUAGGCAAAAUGGUGCCGUAACUUCGGGAGAAGGCACGCUGAUAUGUAGGUGAAGUCCCUUGCGGAUGGAGCUGAAAUCAGUCGAAGAUACCAGCUGGCUGCAACUGUUUAUUAAAAACACAGCACUGUGCAAACACGAAAGUGGACGUAUACGGUGUGACGCCUGCCCGGUGCCGGAAGGUUAAUUGAUGGGGUCAGCGCAAGCGAAGCUCUUGAUCGAAGCCCCGGUAAACGGCGGCCGUAACUAUAACGGUCCUAAGGUAGCGAAAUUCCUUGUCGGGUAAGUUCCGACCUGCACGAAUGGCGUAAUGAUGGCCAGGCUGUCUCCACCCGAGACUCAGUGAAAUUGAACUCGCUGUGAAGAUGCAGUGUACCCGCGGCAAGACGGAAAGACCCCGUGAACCUUUACUAUAGCUUGACACUGAACAUUGAGCCUUGAUGUGUAGGAUAGGUGGGAGGCUUUGAAGUGUGGACGCCAGUCUGCAUGGAGCCGGCCUUGAAAUACCACCCUUUAAUGUUUGAUGUUCUAACGUUGACCCGUAAUCCGGGUUGCGGACAGUGUCUGGUGGGUAGUUUGACUGGGGCGGUCUCCUCCUAAAGAGUAACGGAGGAGCACGAAGGUUGGCUAAUCCUGGUCGGACAUCAGGAGGUUAGUGCAAUGGCAUAAGCCAGCUUGACUGCGAGCGUGACGGCGCGAGCAGGUGCGAAAGCAGGUCAUAGUGAUCCGGUGGUUCUGAAUGGAAGGGCCAUCGCUCAACGGAUAAAAGGUACUCCGGGGAUAACAGGCUGAUACCGCCCAAGAGUUCAUAUCGACGGCGGUGUUUGGCACCUCGAUGUCGGCUCAUCACAUCCUGGGGCUGAAGUAGGUCCCAAGGGUAUGGCUGUUCGCCAUUUAAAGUGGUACGCGAGCUGGGUUUAGAACGUCGUGAGACAGUUCGGUCCCUAUCUGCCGUGGGCGCUGGAGAACUGAGGGGGGCUGCUCCUAGUACGAGAGGACCGGAGUGGACGCAUCACUGGUGUUCGGGUUGUCAUGCCAAUGGCACUGCCCGGUAGCUAAAUGCGGAAGAGAUAAGUGCUGAAAGCAUCUAAGCACGAAACUUGCCCCGAGAUGAGUUCUCCCUGACUCCUUGAGAGUCCUGAAGGAACGUUGAAGACGACGACGUUGAUAGGCCGGGUGUGUAAGCGCAGCGAUGCGUUGAGCUAACCGGUACUAAUGAACCGUGAGGCUUAACCUU